CUGUGGCCUGACUGUUUCAUCCGUAGACCGCCGAGUGCGCUUAGCCACACCCCCAACCACCCGAGCUUCCAGUGUGGCGGGCGGAAAGCUCCGGGUUCCCUGUCUCGUCCAGAAGCCGCGGCAAUGUUGCUUCAUGCCUCAACAACUGUAGCUUGUAACUUCCGUCUUUCUGUUCUUUUAAAUUUUAUGUGUUAUGGGCGUUAGUUACCUGCUUGCAUGGCUGUGCACCACGUGUGAGCAGUGCCUGAGGAGGCUGAAAGAAGGUGUUCAAUUUCCUAGAACUGGAGUGAUGUAAUAGCCUCAUGGUGCACAGACUGGUAUCUAGCUCAUCUUGAACACUGCCACCAUCAUGACCACAGGAGCUCUCCCUAUUUCUGCAUUCAUUUUUUCAUUGUUUUGAAUGUUAACGUGUUCAUUAAACAAUUGAAGUCUCAU
Molecule: long non-coding RNA, 435 nt
Filed under: Mus caroli (Ryukyu mouse)
Lineage: Eukaryota; Metazoa; Chordata; Mammalia; Rodentia; Muridae
Description: lncRNA (MGP_CAROLIEiJ_G0002580.1)
Source: RNAcentral